GAAACCGUUCAGGGGUAAACCUGAGAAACCCAAAAGUUCGAAAAGGGAGAUUCAUCGUCAACGACUGCCGGCUCCCGUGGCGCGCGAUGCCUCUCGUCCUCGGACGGGCGGGCACGCCGCCGCGGCGAACGUUCCGGCGUCGCGGUCGUGCACUUCUCCCUUAGUAGGACGUCGCGACCCGUUGGGUGUCGGCCUACGGCUCGAGCGGGAGUCUGCCGCUUCGGCGGCAAACCCUCGAAUCCCUGGCCGACCGCACGACGGUAGUAAAGACGGUAUCAGGUCGCAACAAGUGCGUCAGGCCCGCCGCAAGUCGGAACCUCUCCGGAGGGACUGGCUGUUAGCUGGCGGUGUUGUCGGACUGGCCGAAAUACCUGUCAGCGACGCUAUUGCUUUGGGUACUCUCAGGACCCGUCUUGAAACACGGACCAAGGAGUCUAACAUGUACGCGAGUCAUUGAGAUUUAUCAAACUUAAAGGCGAAAUGAAAGUGAAGGUCGGCCUCCGCGCCGACCGAGGGAGGAUGGGCCGCGUGCAAAUGCGGCCUCGCACUCCCGGGGCGUCUCGUUCUCAUUGCGAGAUGAGGCGCACCCAGAGCGUACACGUUGGGACCCGAAAGAUGGUGAACUAUGCCUGGUCAGGACGAAGUCAGGGGAAACCCUGAUGGAGGUCCGUAGCGAUUCUGACGUGCAAAUCGAUCGUCGGAACUGGGUAUAGGGGCGAAAGACUAAUCGAACCAUCUAGUAGCUGGUUCCCUCCGAAGUUUCCCUCAGGAUAGCUGGCACUCACAUGUUCUAUAUUCGAACGCACUACGAGUCUCAUCUGGUAAAGCGAAUGAUUAGAGGCCUUGGGGCCGAAACGACCUCAACCUAUUCUCAAACUUUAAAUGGGUGAGAACUCUGGCUUGCUUAAAGCAUAUGAAGCCAAGAGAACAUUGGAUCAGAGUGCCAAGUGGGCCAUUUUUGGUAAGCAGAACUGGCGCUGUGGGAUGAACCAAACGCGGAGUUAAGGCGCCUAAGUCGACGCUUAUGGGAUACCAUGAAAGGCGUUGGUUGCUUAAGACAGCAGGACGGUGGCCAUGGAAGUCGGAA
RNAcentral lists this ribosomal RNA (1087 nucleotides) under Dasypoda visnaga. RNAcentral's name for it is "eukaryotic LSU rRNA". It matches the Rfam family "Eukaryotic large subunit ribosomal RNA", at positions 401 to 1266 of the family's 3401-position model. Lineage: Eukaryota; Metazoa; Arthropoda; Insecta; Hymenoptera; Melittidae. The record is from RNAcentral.